Molecule: unclassified non-coding RNA, 256 nt
Filed under: rhizosphere metagenome
Description: partial ribosomal RNA internal transcribed spacer region
Source: RNAcentral
GUAGGUGAACCUGCGGAAGGAUCAUUACUGAAUUGUCAACACGAGUUGUUGCUGGUCCUCAAAUGGGGGCAUGUGCACGCUCUGUUUACACAUCCACUCACACCUGUGCACCCUCUGUAGUUCUGUGGCUGGGGGGACUCUGUCCUCCUGCUGCGGUUCUAUGUUUUUACACACACUCUGUAUUAAAGUCUCAUGGAAUGUAUCCUGCGUUUAACGCAAUACAAUACAACUUUCAGCAACGGAUCUCUUGGCUCUC